Manihot esculenta (cassava) is the source of this 986-nucleotide long non-coding RNA. RefSeq lists it as uncharacterized. The record is from RefSeq and is a predicted model, not a curated record. The transcript is spliced from 4 exons. NCBI's taxonomy places the organism in Eukaryota, Viridiplantae, Streptophyta, Magnoliopsida, Malpighiales, Euphorbiaceae.
UGGGCAUUGGCUGAACUUGGGUUUUUUCACACUCUCGCUGACCAACCACGACCCUCCAUGGCGCAUAGUCGGUGUCUCCACGCCCUAACCCGUGAAACCAUAGCUCUACUCUCUUCGAACCCUACACACGACGCUGCCCACUCAUUUCCACUAACGCUGACUCCACCUUGUUUUACUCUUUGCCUCACCACCUUCAUCGCCAUUUCUCGUCAAAUUCUCUCGGCGAAAGCGAAAACGAAGAGGAACGUGAAGAGACGGUGGGCGAGGAUAUCAAUUUAGAGGAGGCAACGCGUUCUGGUUUGAGGGGAGAGUACUCGGCGGAGGAGAAGGAAAAGGAAAAGGAAAUGGAAGCUGCCGCUAUUGGAUAUAAGGUGAUUGGACCACUUCAGAAAACCGACCGGUUCUUUGAACCUUACGAUCUUGUUUUCGCUGUUGUUCAGGUGAGCAAUGGAGAUUGCAUUUUCACCUAGAGAUUGAAAUUCUGUGAAGUAAAUGACAAGGUGAUUUUAUUAAUGUUUAUGCUUGGACUUGAUCUUAUGCUGAACUUGUGGAUGUAAGAUAUUUUAGACACAGUAGUUGGCGUGUAAAGAGAGGCAGAUUUCCCUUUGGAAUUGACCCAGUUGAGAAUAACUGAUAUUCAAGGAAUUGAGAAACCAGAAAUGAAAGUGGUUAAGCAAGAAGAAAUGGUUGCAGUUGCUGUUUAUGAAUGAUUUUCCUCUGGCCAAAUAUUGAUAUACUGGCUUCCGAUGCUUAUAAUCUCAGAGCUGCAACUUUCUGAUUCUAUUUGAUGGGCUCAUUCCUGAUUUAUCAGUUGUACAUUUUGGAUGUCAUAGGAGGCAUAAAAAAUAGUCAUUUGACCAGAUACAUUUUGCAGUAUUGGCAUGCUGGGAUUAUAUUACAUCCUUUUCUAACUUUUUUUCUCUUUAUUUUGUUUGUAUGUACUCCUCAAAUGACACAGCAGGAAUAAUCAAUUACUAUUUUCUCUC